CGCGGCCUAUCAGCUUGUUGGUGGGGUAACGGCCCACCAAGGCUUCGACGGGUAGCUGGUCUGAGAGGACGAUCAGCCACACUGGGACUGAGACACGGCCCAGACUCCUACGGGAGGCAGCAGUGGGGAAUCUUGCACAAUGGGCGAAAGCCUGAUGCAGCAACGCCGCGUGGGGGAUGAAGGCCCUCGGGUUGUAAACCCCUUUCAGCAGGGACGAAACUGACGGUACCUGCAGAAGAAGCCCCGGCCAACUACGUGCCAGCAGCCGCGGUAACACGUAGGGGGCAAGCGUUGUCCGGAUUUAUUGGGCGUAAAGAGCUCGUAGGCUGUUCGAUAAGUCGGGUGUGAAACCUCCAGGCUCAACCUGGAGACGCCACCCGAUACUGUCAUGACUAGAGUCCGGUAGGGGAGCGUGGAAUUCCUGGUGUAGCGGUGAAAUGCGCAGAUAUCAGGAGGAACACCAGCGGCGAAGGCGGCGCUCUGGGCCGGUACUGACGCUGAGGAGCGAAAGCGUGGGUAGCAAACAGGAUUAGAUACCCUGGUAGUCCACGCCGUAAACGUUGGGCACUAGGUGUGGGUCACAACCAACGUGAUCUGUGCCGUAGCUAACGCAUUAAGUGCCCCGCCUGGGGAGUACGG
This 639-nucleotide ribosomal RNA is filed under the name uncultured Actinomycetes bacterium. RNAcentral describes it as "bacterial SSU rRNA". It matches the Rfam family "Bacterial small subunit ribosomal RNA", at positions 232 to 885 of the family's 1533-position model. The record is from RNAcentral. Lineage: Bacteria; Bacillati; Actinomycetota; Actinomycetes.